AAUUUGCUCUAAACACAUAAGGAGCUGCAGCCACAACUUCUUCCAUGACAGCAGUGUACAUUUCAAGAAGCUAUAUAUUAAGCAGCUUCCAUCUUACAAAAGUGUCAGAAAAGUGUUUGGUUUCCAAGAGGAUCUGUCUGCAGAGGCGUGGAGAUUCCCCAGACAAAAUUCGGAUUUGUGGG
Trifolium pratense (red clover) is the source of this 182-nucleotide long non-coding RNA. RefSeq lists it as uncharacterized. Lineage: Eukaryota; Viridiplantae; Streptophyta; Magnoliopsida; Fabales; Fabaceae. The record is from RefSeq and is a predicted model, not a curated record. The transcript is spliced from 2 exons.